CAUCAAGUCGAGCGCCCCGCAAGGGGAGCGGCAGACGGGUGAGUAACGCGUGGGAAUCUACCCUUUUCUACGGAAUAACGCAGGGAAACUUGUGCUAAUACCGUAUGAGCCCUUCGGGGGAAAGAUUUAUCGGGAAAGGAUGAGCCCGCGUUGGAUUAGCUAGUUGGUGGGGUAAAGGCCUACCAAGGCGACGAUCCAUAGCUGGUCUGAGAGGAUGAUCAGCCACAUUGGGACUGAGACACGGCCCAAACUCCUACGG
Molecule: ribosomal RNA, 259 nt
Filed under: Rhizobium sp. USDA 1088
Lineage: Bacteria; Pseudomonadati; Pseudomonadota; Alphaproteobacteria; Hyphomicrobiales; Rhizobiaceae
Also listed under: 1 other name
Description: partial 16S ribosomal RNA
Rfam family: Bacterial small subunit ribosomal RNA
Source: RNAcentral